GCUGGGCCUGGUGGUGCAUGCCUGUAAUUCCAGCUAGUUGGGAGGCUGUGGCAGGAAGAUUGCAAGUUCAGGGCCAGCCUGAGAAACUUAGGAAGACCCUGUCGCAA
This 107-nucleotide small RNA is filed under the name Marmota monax (woodchuck). Lineage: Eukaryota; Metazoa; Chordata; Mammalia; Rodentia; Sciuridae. The record is from RNAcentral.